This 73-nucleotide transfer RNA is filed under the name Dallia pectoralis (Alaska blackfish). RNAcentral describes it as "tRNA-Thr". The record is from RNAcentral. Lineage: Eukaryota; Metazoa; Chordata; Actinopteri; Esociformes; Umbridae.
GAUCAUGGAGCAGUUGGUAGCUCAGUGCAUGCAUUGUGUGUAUGACGUCCUGGGUUCAAAUCCCAGCUGCUCC